Molecule: transfer RNA, 76 nt
Filed under: Caudoviricetes sp.
Lineage: Duplodnaviria; Heunggongvirae; Uroviricota; Caudoviricetes
Description: tRNA-Met
Rfam family: tRNA
About the family: Transfer RNA (tRNA) molecules are approximately 80 nucleotides in length. Their secondary structure includes four short double-helical elements and three loops (D, anti-codon, and T loops).
Source: RNAcentral
GGGUCCAUAGCACAAUUGGCAGAGCACGCCGCUCAUAACGGCAAGAUUGCAGGUUCGAGUCCUGCUGGACCCACCA